GACGAACGCUGGCGGCGUGCUUAACACAUGCAAGUCGAACGGAAAGGCCCUGCUUUUGUGGGGUGCUCGAGUGGCGAACGGGUGAGUAACACGUGAGUAACCUGCCCUUGACUUUGGGAUAACUUCAGGAAACUGGGGCUAAUACCGGAUAGGAGCUCCUGCUGCAUGGUGGGGGUUGGAAAGUUUCGGCGGUUGGGGAUGGACUCGCGGCUUAUCAGCUUGUUGGUGGGGUAGUGGCUUACCAAGGCUUUGACGGGUAGCCGGCCUGAGAGGGUGACCGGCCACAUUGGGACUGAGAUACGGCCCAGUCUGCUACGGGAGGCAGCAGUGGGGAAUAUUGCACAGUGGGCGGAAGCCUGAUGCAGCAACGCCGCGUGCGGGAUGACGGCCUUCGGGUUGAAAACCGCUUUCGCCUGUGACGAAGCGUGAGUGACGGUAAUGGGUAAAGAAGCACCGGCUAACCACGUG
RNAcentral lists this ribosomal RNA (468 nucleotides) under uncultured bacterium. RNAcentral describes it as "partial 16S ribosomal RNA". It matches the Rfam family "Bacterial small subunit ribosomal RNA", at positions 28 to 507 of the family's 1533-position model. The record is from RNAcentral.